Molecule: ribosomal RNA, 437 nt
Filed under: uncultured bacterium
Lineage: Bacteria
Description: bacterial SSU rRNA
Rfam family: Bacterial small subunit ribosomal RNA
Source: RNAcentral
UGAGUCGCGAACGGGUGAGUAACGCGUAGGUAACCUGCCUACUAGCGGGGGAUAACUAUUGGAAACGAUAGCUAAUACCGCAUAAGAGUUUUAACACAUGUUAGAAUUUAAAGGAGCAAAUGCUUCACUAGUAGAUGGACCUGCGUUGUAUUAGCUAGUUGGUAAGGUAACGGCUUACCAAGGCGACGAUACAUAGCCGACCUGAGAGGGUGAUCGGCCACACUGGGACUGAGACACGGCCCAGACUCCUACGGGAGGCAGCAGUAGGGGAAUCUUCGGCAAUGGGGGGAACCCUGACCGAGCAACGCCGCGUGAGUGAAGAAGGUUUUCGGAUCGUAAAGCUCUGUUGUAAGAGAAGAACGUUGAGUAGAGUGGAAAGUUACUCAAGUGACGGUAUCUUACCAGAAAGGGACGGCUAACUACGUGCCAGCCGCAGC